This 490-nucleotide ribosomal RNA is filed under the name uncultured bacterium. RNAcentral describes it as "bacterial SSU rRNA". It matches the Rfam family "Bacterial small subunit ribosomal RNA", at positions 421 to 918 of the family's 1533-position model. The record is from RNAcentral.
GGUUGUAAAGCCCUGUCGGAGGGGACGAAGUCUUCGGAUUGACGGUACCUUCCAAGAAAGCACCGGCUAACUCCGUGCCAGCAGCCGCGGUAAUACGGAGGGUGCAAGCGUUGCUCGGAAUUACUGGGCGUAAAGCGUACGCAGGCGGUCUGAUAAGUCGGGUGUGAAAGCCCCGGGCUCAACCCGGGAACUGCAUUCGAAACUGCCAGACUUGAGUUUGGGAGAGGGAAGUGGAAUUCCUGGUGUAGAGGUGAAAUUCGUUGAUAUCAGGAGGAACACCGGCGGCGAAAGCGGCUUCCUGGCCCGAUACUGACGCUCAUGUACGAAAGCGUGGGGAGCAAACAGGAUUAGAUACCCUGGUAGUCCACGCCGUAAACGAUGAGUGCUAGAUGUUGGAGGUAUUCACCCCCUUCAGUGUCGAAGCUAACGCAUUAAGCACUCCGCCUGGGGAGUACGGCCGCAAGGUUAAAACUCAAAGGAAUUGACGGGG